This 253-nucleotide ribosomal RNA is filed under the name uncultured bacterium. RNAcentral describes it as "partial 16S ribosomal RNA". It matches the Rfam family "Bacterial small subunit ribosomal RNA", at positions 524 to 776 of the family's 1533-position model. The record is from RNAcentral.
UACGUAGGCAGCGAGCGUUGUUCGGAAUUACUGGGCGUAAAGAGUGUGUAGGCGGUGUUCCCAGUCUGUUGUGAAAUCUCCCGGCUUAACUGGGAGGGUGCAGCGGAAACUAGAAUGCUAGAGGGUGGGAGAGGUAAGCGGAAUUCCUGGUGUAGCGGUGAAAUGCGUAGAUAUCAGGAAGAACACCGGUGGCGAAAGCGCUCUGCUAGGCCGCAACUGACACUGAGGGACGAAAGCUAGGGGAGCGAAUGGG